RNAcentral lists this ribosomal RNA (253 nucleotides) under uncultured bacterium. RNAcentral's name for it is "partial 16S ribosomal RNA". It matches the Rfam family "Bacterial small subunit ribosomal RNA", at positions 524 to 776 of the family's 1533-position model. The record is from RNAcentral.
UACGUAGGGACCAAGCGUUGUUCGGAUUUACUGGGCGUAAAGGGCGCGUAGGCGGCGUGGUAAGUCACUUGUGAAAUCUCUGAGCUUAACUCAGAACUGCCAAGUGAUACUGCUGUGCUCGAGUGUGGAAGGGGCAAUCGGAAUUCUUGGUGUAGCGGUGAAAUGCGUAGAUAUCAAGAGGAACACCUGGGGUGAAGACGGGUUGCUGGGCCAACACUGACGCUGAGGCGCGAAAGCUAGGGGAGCAAACAGG